Small RNA from Bacillus subtilis subsp. subtilis str. 168, 69 nucleotides. It matches the Rfam family "Bacillaceae-1 RNA". The record is from Rfam. Lineage: Bacteria; Bacillati; Bacillota; Bacilli; Caryophanales; Bacillaceae.
UUUGAAUGAAAGGCAGCUAAUGACCCAAGCGUCCUGCCUGAACGCAGCCUUCCUUCUCCUUUGUGUGAA